CCGAACCGACUAAUGUUGAAAAAUUAGCGGAUGACCUGUGGCUGGGGGUGAAAGGCCAAUCAAACCGGGAGAUAGCUGGUUCUCCCCGAAAGCUAUUUAGGUAGCGCCUCGUGAAUUCAUCUCCGGGGGUAGAGCACUGUUUCGGCUAGGGGGCCAUCCCGGCUUACCAACCCGAUGCAAACUGCGAAUACCGGAGAAUGUUAUCACGGGAGACACACGGCGGGUGCUAACGUCCGUCGUGAAGAGGGAAACAACCCAGACCGCCAGCUAAGGUCCCAAAGUCAUGGUUAAGUGGGAAACGAUGUGGGAAGGCCCAGACAGCCAGGAUGUUGGCUUAGAAGCAGCCAUCAUUUAAAGAAAGCGUAAUAGCUCACUGGUCGAGUCGGCCUGCGCGGAAGAUGUAACGGGGCUAAACCAUGCACCGAAGCUGCGGCAGCGACACUGUGUGUUGUUGGGUAGGGGAGCGUUCUGUAAGCCUGUGAAGGUGUGUC
RNAcentral lists this ribosomal RNA (491 nucleotides) under Salmonella enterica. RNAcentral describes it as "partial 23S ribosomal RNA". It matches the Rfam family "Bacterial large subunit ribosomal RNA", at positions 774 to 1262 of the family's 2925-position model. RNAcentral also lists the same sequence under 1 other name. Lineage: Bacteria; Pseudomonadati; Pseudomonadota; Gammaproteobacteria; Enterobacterales; Enterobacteriaceae. The record is from RNAcentral.